This 892-nucleotide ribosomal RNA is filed under the name uncultured bacterium. RNAcentral describes it as "bacterial SSU rRNA". It matches the Rfam family "Bacterial small subunit ribosomal RNA", at positions 8 to 916 of the family's 1533-position model. The record is from RNAcentral.
AGAGUUUGAUCCUGGCUCAGGACGAACGCUGGCGGCGUGCCUAACACAUGCAAGUCGAGCGAAUGAAGUUCCUUCGGGAACGGAUUUAGCGGCGGACGGGUGAGUAACACGUGGGCAACCUGCCUCAUAGAGGGGAAUAGCCUUCCGAAAGGGAGAUUAAUACCGCAUAAGAUUGUAGUACCGCAUGGUACAGCAAUUAAAGGAGCAAUCCGCUAUGAGAUGGGCCCGCGGCGCAUUAGCUAGUUGGUGAGGUAACGGCUCACCAAGGCGACGAUGCGUAGCCGACCUGAGAGGGUGAUCGGCCACAUUGGGACUGAGACACGGCCCAGACUCCUACGGGAGGCAGCAGUGGGGAAUAUUGCACAAUGGGGGAAACCCUGAUGCAGCAACGCCGCGUGAGUGAUGACGGCCUUCGGGUUGUAAAGCUCUGUCUUCAGGGACGAUAAUGACGGUACCUGAGGAGGAAGCCACGGCUAACUACGUGCCAGCAGCCGCGGUAAUACGUAGGUGGCGAGCGUUGUCCGGAUUUACUGGGCGUAAAGGGAGCGUAGGCGGAUUUUUAAGUGAGAUGUGAAAUACUCGGGCUUAACCUGAGUGCUGCAUUUCAAACUGGAAGUCUAGAGUGCAGGAGAGGAGAAGGGAAUUCCUAGUGUAGCGGUGAAAUGCGUAGAGAUUAGGAAGAACACCGGUGGCGAAGGCGCUUCUCUGGACUGUAACUGACGCUGAGGCUCGAAAGCGUGGGGAGCAAACAGGAUUAGAUACCCUGUAGUCCACGCCGUAAACGAUGAAUACUAGGUGUAGGGGUUGUCAUGACCUCUGUGCCGCCGCUAACGCAUUAAGUAUUCCGCCUGGGGAGUACGGUCGCAAGAUUAAAACUCAAAGGAAUUGACGG